This 411-nucleotide small RNA is filed under the name Pan troglodytes (chimpanzee). RNAcentral's name for it is "processed transcript". The record is from RNAcentral. Lineage: Eukaryota; Metazoa; Chordata; Mammalia; Primates; Hominidae.
UGACAGCGGCAGGCCACAUAGGCAAGGAAGCUGGUGCAUGCAGUGUCUCUGGGCAAGGUUAUGCAACCUUCGUCUCCUCGUCCUCCAGGCAGCACAAGCCAUUGUGGAAUCUCCACCGGGUGUACAGAACGGUGCCUCUGCGUCCUGCCACUCAGGACCUCUCAAGUCCCCGAUGUGAUGGCUCCUCAGCAUGAUCAGGAGAAAUUCCAUGAUCUUGCUUAUUCCUGUCUUGGGAAGUCCUUCUCCAUGUCUAACCAAGAUCUAUAUGGCUAUAGCACCGCUCUUUGGCUCUUGGCUUGGCAUGGCUAAGUUGGGAGACCAAAAAGAAGAAUGUACUUCAUCUGGUUGGGCUGGAUUCCCUCUGAUAAGCCUUCCCAGUUGACUGAAAGAUGAGGCUAGGCUCUAGCAAGU